CCCUUAGAUGUCCGGGGCCGCACGCGCGCUACACUGAAGGAAUCAGCGUGGCUUUCUCCCUGACCCGAAAGGGUUGGGAAACCCGUUGAAUCUCCUUCGUGAUAGGGAUUGGGGCUUGAAAUUGUUCCCCAUGAACGAGGAAUUCCCAGUAAGCGCGAGUCAUAAGCUCGCGUUGAUUACGUCCCUGCCCUUUGUACACACCGCCCGUCGCUACUACCGAUUGAGUGAUCCGGUGAAUAAUUCGGACUGCAGCAGUGUUCAGUUCCUGAACGUUGCAGCGGAAAGUUUAGUGAACCUUAUCACUUAGAGGAAGGAGAAGUCGUAACA
Molecule: ribosomal RNA, 327 nt
Filed under: uncultured eukaryote
Lineage: Eukaryota
Description: partial 18S ribosomal RNA
Rfam family: Eukaryotic small subunit ribosomal RNA
Source: RNAcentral